Xenia sp. Carnegie-2017 is the source of this 844-nucleotide long non-coding RNA. RefSeq lists it as uncharacterized. NCBI's taxonomy places the organism in Eukaryota, Metazoa, Cnidaria, Anthozoa, Malacalcyonacea, Xeniidae. The transcript is spliced from 2 exons. The record is from RefSeq and is a predicted model, not a curated record.
AUUACCUCCAAAUAACAACCCAGUGUCUUCACAAGGAUUAUUAUCCAGAGAUGAACGAGCUGCUGCCCUAAAUACUCAUAUUAAUGUUUGCUGUGAUCGCUUGGGUAAAGCUGUACGUCUGAGAUUACAGGAAAUAAAUGGCAUUUUGAAAGAUGAUAAAUUAAAAGCAACUUUAUAAACAAAUUUACGAUGAAAUUGUUUUAUCGUGUUUUUUUUUUUAAUUAUGUGUUUAAUGUCAAAUGUGUGCAGCUCUUGUACCACAAAUUUUACCACAUUUUUUACCUACAAUCUCCAAUUAAUUAUUCUACAUUUGUAAAUUAAAACAGUUUAUCAUUUUUUGAUAAGGUUAGCAGAAUUAUAUUGACCGUUACUUUCCUUUCAGGAAGCUACAAAAUUCUUUGGUGGGACUCUGCGUUGAUAAAGUUUGUUGAUUCUAAAAGCUAAAAUAGUCUACAAAAUUAAGUUUCUGUUUAGCCACAAAAUCGUAUGAAUCUGGUUAUUUAUAAAAAUAUAAGUUUAAGUUAUUUUGGUUCCAAAACCCUCAUUCGUGAAAUUUUGUGGUCUGGUGUUUGCCUUGUAGUUAAAACAAAAUUUUCUUAUGGAAUUGAUAAGGUUUAACUAUGAUUUGCCUAGUUUUUAACUUUGACCAGUUUGUAUCAUAAAAUAUCUCACAAUAAUACUAAAUAUUAUCAUGGCAUUGUAAUAUUUAGUAUUAUUAGCAAAAACUCUAUUUGUUGUUUUAAUAUCUAAGCGUUUUAGGCAUUAAUGAAAGUUCUAUGAAAUUCUUCAAUUUUAAUUCAGAGAACUACUACCAUAUUCUAACAAAUAAAAAUUGUUCAACGCA